Molecule: RNA transcript, 1436 nt
Organism: Olea europaea var. sylvestris
Lineage: Eukaryota; Viridiplantae; Streptophyta; Magnoliopsida; Lamiales; Oleaceae
Exons: 9
Source: RefSeq, a predicted model, not a curated record
CUCCCUAUCUGUUUUCACGAUGGAACCCCGUGAAUCCCAUUUUCAAAGUCCCAUCGUCACAAAGCCUCCAUUUUUUACACCACAGCAAUCGUCGUCUCCUUCAUCGGCGCCGGCGCCAUCCUCGGCAAUUCGGCUGUGGAAACCGGCGGCUCAGCGAAACGUCAGGAACCAAUGGUCUAAGCUGCUUGCCCUUUUCCAGGACUGGUGCUCUUCGUCCUCUUCCGCCCGCUCACACGCCAUCUCCCUCGUCAACUCCUUUCUGUCUCAAAAGUACAUGAAUGGGAUGGACUUGGGUGUGCUAAGUGACAUGCCAAAUAUUCGGACGAAAGCUUGUCAGAAAUUGUUCAAGCAACAGGAGCUUUACAGGUGUAAGCUCUUAUCGUGUUACAAAGAUAUGGUAGCUAUUGUGACUCGUAUGGUCAACUCUAGUAGAUCCAUGAGGUGUUAUUUGAAAGGUUCAAGAACUAGUCCAUUAGCUCAGUUCUCUUGCUCCUCUCAGAAUGACAACGAUAGUGGUGAUGCUGGUGGAAUACCAGUUUUCACAUUUUGGUCAAUUGCUGCUUUUGAAGAACUAGCAUCAGAAGUUGUACAAAUGUUCACGUCAGAACUAAAUUUAAAGAGGUUGCUCGUGUUGGAGUUGCUGUCCAUCUCUGAUGAAAGAGUUUUACAAGAGAUUGAGUUGCAUUGGUCGGAUGAAUUCUAUGAGGGAGAAUUUGAUGAUCUAAGCACGUGUAACUUGUACUUAGAAGAAGCUUGUGAACCAGUGUUCCCAAGUCUUAGGAGCAGCCGAUCUAGUACUUCCUCAAUGCAAUCUAAACACCAGGCAGAUAGUGAUGUUCUACAGGUACUGGGGUCUGUUUGACUUGAAGAUUUGUAGCAGGUUUAUCUGACAACCUGGCUUGCAGAGGUGAAUAUAGAUAGAUGCAGGUUGGAUGAAAUAUUUGCUAUUGUAGGAGAGGAAAUGCACGUUAACCUUUCUUGAAGCCGCUGGUUCCUCCCUAUGGAGUCUUGGACAGUGAUAAUGUCUCGAAUCUGCAAGUGAAGCUAAUGCUAAUGUUUGCUCAUAAUACCUGUUGAAAUGGAGAUGCUGACCCUGAAAAAUAAUAGUAAAUGCUUCAUAUGAUAUCAAUAAUGUAAUCACCGGUUAUAUUGAGCACCUUUUUCUUACUUAAAAUGAGAAAAGAAUUAACUUAUUUUGAUACAUAUGUUGGGAUAUUUUGAAACUUAGGAACUUAUUUCAUUUUUUACAAAUAAAAUUAAUAUGUAUCUUUACACUUUAUUUUAUACUAAUAAAUAAUGUUUUUAGGCUUAGAACUAGGGAAGCACAACACAAGGGGGUUGGUCUUCCUUUCAUGUAUUCAAUCAUGACCAUUUGAGGUCUGCCAAAUGUAUUGUGCCCACUAAUUGAUUAUUGUUACGUAGAAAUACUACUUUUA